Molecule: ribosomal RNA, 364 nt
Filed under: uncultured bacterium
Lineage: Bacteria
Description: partial 16S ribosomal RNA
Rfam family: Bacterial small subunit ribosomal RNA
Source: RNAcentral
CCUACGGGCGGCAGCAGUGAGGAAUAUUGGUCAAUGGCCGGAAGGCUGAACCAGCCAUGCCGCGUGAAGGUCAGUGCCCUAUGGGCGUUAAACUUCUUUCGUGCGGGAGCAAUAAUGCUCACGUGUGGCCAGACGCGCGUACCGUACGAAUAAGCAUCGGCUAACUCCGUGCCAGCAGCCGCGGUAAUACGGGGUAUGCAAGCGUUAUCCGGAUUUAUUGGGGUUAAAGGGUGCGUAGGAUGUGAGGUAAGUCAGCGGGGAAAUGCCCCCGCGCAACGGGGUGAAGUGCCAUUGAUACUGCGUGGCGGGAGUGCGGAUGGCGUGGGAGGAAUGUGUGGUGUAGCGGUGAAAUGCAUAGAUAUCA